Long non-coding RNA from Thalassophryne amazonica, 277 nucleotides. RefSeq lists it as uncharacterized. The transcript has 2 exons. Lineage: Eukaryota; Metazoa; Chordata; Actinopteri; Batrachoidiformes; Batrachoididae. The record is from RefSeq and is a predicted model, not a curated record.
CCCAUGUAGAUAUCAAGGGCUCAUUCUAAGCUAAAAAACCCCACAUUGUUUUGCUGUCACAGGUAAUUAAUAAGUCAAUGCUACACUCCAUUUCAGCUAAUAAAUGCCACUAAACCUACACACUGUAGCUUUAAAGACAAAUGAAAAAUCAGAAUAAUUAAAGCCUGGUUUGUUUUUACAAUCUGUGAUUACAUUUUAUAAGAGUUGCAAACAUUAAAAACUAGGGAUGGGAUGACUAGCCCUAAGAGCAGACUAUGACUAUCUAACAUCCGACUAG